This 164-nucleotide ribosomal RNA is filed under the name Senecio espinosae. Its description in RNAcentral is "5.8S ribosomal RNA". It matches the Rfam family "5.8S ribosomal RNA". From Rfam's summary of the family: 5.8S ribosomal RNA (5.8S rRNA) is a component of the large subunit of the eukaryotic ribosome. It is transcribed by RNA polymerase I as part of the 45S precursor that also contains 18S and 28S rRNA. Lineage: Eukaryota; Viridiplantae; Streptophyta; Magnoliopsida; Asterales; Asteraceae. The record is from RNAcentral.
UAAACGACUCUCGGCAACGGAUAUCUUGGCUCACGCAUCGAUGAAGAACGUAGCAAAAUGCGAUACUUGGUGUGAAUUGCAGAAUCCCGUGAACCAUCGAGUUUUUGAACGCAAGUUGCGCCCGAAGCCUUUUGGCCGAGGGCACGUCUGCCUGGGCGUCAUAC